GCGGACGUGGUGAAACUGGUAGACACAAGAGACUUAAAAUCUCUCGCCUUCAAGGGCUUACGGGUUCGAUCCCCGUCGUCCGCACCA
This 87-nucleotide transfer RNA is filed under the name Rhizobium sullae. RNAcentral's name for it is "tRNA-Leu". It matches the Rfam family "tRNA". Rfam says of the family: Transfer RNA (tRNA) molecules are approximately 80 nucleotides in length. RNAcentral also lists the same sequence under 1 other name. Lineage: Bacteria; Pseudomonadati; Pseudomonadota; Alphaproteobacteria; Hyphomicrobiales; Rhizobiaceae. The record is from RNAcentral.